Non-coding RNA from Arachis ipaensis, 191 nucleotides. The record is from RefSeq and is a predicted model, not a curated record. Lineage: Eukaryota; Viridiplantae; Streptophyta; Magnoliopsida; Fabales; Fabaceae.
CCGCAAAUAGAAAAUUGGAGCAAAUACCUGGUGCUUGGUGAGCCUCUGCAAAUGGCUCUGGUCUUCUUACUUCUUAGGGUGGAGAUCAAGAGCUUGACAUGUACUUCUUCUUCUUAUAAACUUCCCUCAAGAUAGCCUUCUACUUCUGAGAAAUCACCGUCAACACUUGACCAAAGGACAACCACACAACC